RNAcentral lists this ribosomal RNA (42 nucleotides) under Alternaria alternata. RNAcentral's name for it is "partial 28S ribosomal RNA". Lineage: Eukaryota; Fungi; Ascomycota; Dothideomycetes; Pleosporales; Pleosporaceae. RNAcentral also lists the same sequence under 2 other names. The record is from RNAcentral.
UUUUGACCUCGGAUCAGGUAGGGAUACCCGCUGAACUUAAGC